This is an RNA transcript of Drosophila obscura, 1133 nucleotides long. It is a transcript of the gene named zinc finger protein 791-like, with no coding region annotated. The transcript is spliced from 3 exons. The record is from RefSeq and is a predicted model, not a curated record. Lineage: Eukaryota; Metazoa; Arthropoda; Insecta; Diptera; Drosophilidae.
AGCCACAAACUCUUUUUCGCACGAAUGGAGGAGGAUAGAGAAGAAGACAUCUGUGAUAAUAUGGAAGACAUUGAUUGGAAACCGUCGGAUAGUGGAAGUGAGCAGUCAAACCAUUUAAAAUCCGAUGCAACGAUAAAUAAAAAUGAUACCGAUAAAGCGGAUCAUCUAGAACGACCCCACAAAUGCCCAGACUGUCCAAAAUCGUUUCAAACUAAAUACCAACACAGUAGACACAUCCGGACUCACUCGACGGAGCGACCACAUAAAUGUACUCCUUGCUCGAAGACAUAUAAACAGAAAAACGAACUCAGAAAGCACAUGCGUACUCACACGAGGGAACGAACCUUUAAGUGUUCUCAGUGUCCAAAGACUUUUCCCGACAUCACAUCUUUUCGGUAUCAUAUCCGUGAGCAUACCGCCGAGCGAUCUUUCCAAUGUUCCCUCUGCUCGAAGUAAUUUAAGCAAAAAAAAUCAUUUAAAAAUCACACGCGAAUUCACGCGGACAACCCUCAAAGCUCCCAUCUUCAAAAAGAAAAAGAAAAAUCUUACCUAUGCUCUUACUGCUCUAAAACCUUCUCACACAAAUUCUAUCUUGAAAGCCACAUCCGUACGCACACGGGUGAACGACCCUACCAAUGCUCUCACUGCUCAAAAUCAUUUAGCCAGCUAGGAUCUCGAAAGCUUCACAUUCGCACGCACACUGGAACUCUAAAGCUUCACAUCCGGACGCACACUGUUCACGCCCGUACGCACACGGGUAAACGACCCUUUAAAUGACCCGAGUGCCCAAAGAUACUUAGCUUGCAAGCAUCUCUACGGAAUCACAGCCGUACGCACACGAUUGAACGACCCUACAAAUGCUCUUACUGCGAAAAAUCCUUUGCAGAUAAAUACUAUCUCAAGGAACAUAUCCAUACUCAUACUGGAGAGCGACCGUAUAAGUGUGAGCUGUGCCCUAAGUCAUCUUUCCUCCAAUCUUCACUCACACGCCCUUACGCACAGAGCUGAUGGACCAUAUAAAUGUUCUCACUGCUCGAAGUCAUUUAAUGAGCAAGAGUCCCUUUAUAUUUUAAAUACUUACUGUACAUACUUAUUUUAAAAAUAAAUUGUAAAACGCUUGAUUUUGUGCGAUU